GGAGCCAUAGUUCAGUGGUAAAAUCCAUGUUUUACACAUAGGAGGUCCCAGCUUCAACCCCUGGCGCCUCCG
This is a non-coding RNA of Podarcis lilfordi (Lilford's wall lizard), 72 nucleotides long. NCBI's taxonomy places the organism in Eukaryota, Metazoa, Chordata, Lepidosauria, Squamata, Lacertidae. The record is from the annotation of a GenBank genome assembly.